Molecule: ribosomal RNA, 506 nt
Filed under: uncultured bacterium
Lineage: Bacteria
Description: partial 16S ribosomal RNA
Rfam family: Bacterial small subunit ribosomal RNA
Source: RNAcentral
AGUGAACGCUGGCGGUAGGCCUAACACAUGCAAGUCGAACGGCAGCACAGGAGAGCUUGCUCUCUGGGUGGCGAGUGGCGGACGGGUGAGGAAUACAUCGGAAUCUACUCUGUCGUGGGGGAUAACGUAGGGAAACUUACGCUAAUACCGCAUACGACCUACGGGUGAAAGCAGGGGACCUUCGGGCCUUGCGCGAUUGAAUGAGCCGAUGUCGGAUUAGCUAGUUGGCGGGGUAAAGGCCCACCAAGGCGACGAUCCGUAGCUGGUCUGAGAGGAUGAUCAGCCACACUGGAACUGAGACACGGUCCAGACUCCUACGGGAGGCAGCAGUGGGGAAUAUUGGACAAUGGGCGCAAGCCUGAUCCAGCCAUACCGCGUGGGAGAAGAAGGCCUUCGGGUUGUAAAGCCCUUUUGUUAGGAAAGAAAUCCAGCUGGCUAAUACCCGGUUGGGAUGACGGUACCCAAAGAAUAAGCACCGGCUAACUUCGUGCCAGCCGCCGCCGUAA